This 254-nucleotide ribosomal RNA is filed under the name uncultured bacterium. Its description in RNAcentral is "partial 16S ribosomal RNA". It matches the Rfam family "Bacterial small subunit ribosomal RNA", at positions 524 to 776 of the family's 1533-position model. The record is from RNAcentral.
UACGUAGGGUCCAAGCGUUAUCCGGAAUCACUGGGCGUAAAGCGUGCGUAGGUGGUUUGUUAAGUGUAUUGCGAAAUCCUGUGGCUCAACCAUAUGGACUGUAAUGCAUACUGGCAAACUAGAGGAUAGCAGAGGCAAGUGGAAUUACCGGUGUAGCAGUGAAAUGCGUAGAGAUCGGUAGGAACACCAAUGGCGAAGGCAGCUUGCUGGGCUAUUUCUGACGCUAAGGCACGAAAGCGUGGGGAGCGAACAGG